This 109-nucleotide small RNA is filed under the name Salmonella enterica subsp. enterica serovar Senftenberg. Its description in RNAcentral is "partial RtT sRNA". It matches the Rfam family "RtT RNA", at positions 24 to 130 of the family's 130-position model. Rfam says of the family: This family represents a bacterial cis-regulatory element known as RtT RNA. RNAcentral also lists the same sequence under 1 other name. The record is from RNAcentral. Lineage: Bacteria; Pseudomonadati; Pseudomonadota; Gammaproteobacteria; Enterobacterales; Enterobacteriaceae.
GAGAAGCUUCGACUAAGGUUCGAUUCGAGCGAAAGCGAGAAAGCGUUGCCGCAGGCAACGACCCGAAGGGCGAAGCGCGCAGCGCUGAGUCAUCCUUCCCCCACCACCA